This 84-nucleotide non-coding RNA is filed under the name Candidatus Zhuqueibacterota. RNAcentral's name for it is "Candidate division c-di-GMP-II sequence". It matches the Rfam family "Cyclic di-GMP-II riboswitch aptamer". Lineage: Bacteria; Pseudomonadati. The record is from RNAcentral.
UCAUAUAUCAAAUGCUAUGAUGUACUCUUUCUAUUUGGUUGCCUUAAGAGUAUGGAGCAAAUGGCAAAACCGCUUGAUAAUAAU